Molecule: transfer RNA, 81 nt
Filed under: Pseudomonas sp. RIT288
Lineage: Bacteria; Pseudomonadati; Pseudomonadota; Gammaproteobacteria; Pseudomonadales; Pseudomonadaceae
Description: tRNA-Asn
Source: RNAcentral
CGAUUGCGCUGGUCAGCGGUGUGACCUGGGCGCUGUUGAUCACCGCCAGCAUGGCCGGUUCGACUGCGGCAGCGUUCGACC